CCAGCGGAAGGAUCAUUACCGAGAUCUAUCCGGACGGCCCGAAGUCGCCCAGCGGCCCGGGCCCGUCCGGGUGCUUUGUCGCCCAACCCUGUGUCGUAUUAGCCCUGUGAUGCUUCGGCGGUCGCCUCCAAAUCAUCCUCUUCUCGUGGGAGGGUGGGGAGGCGCAACCGCCGGAUGCUUUGCUUAAUUCAUUCUCUGCGAUGCUGUCAGAAUGCCGUCUGAGGAUUGUGAACAAAUAUAGCAAAACUUUCAACAACGGAUCUCUUGGUUCCGGCAUCGAUGAAGAACGCAGCGAAAUGCGAUAAGUAAUGUGAAUUGCAGAAUUCAGCGAAUCAUCGAAUCUUUGAACGCACAUUGCGCCCCUUGGAAUUCCGAUGGGCAUACCUGUUCGAGCGUCAUUGACUCCAUCCUUCCAGCGUGCGCUGGGUCUUGGGCGGUGUCGCCCCGGCCGCUUCGGUGGGCCCGCAGCGACACGCCCCAAAGAGAACGUCGGCCCGUCGGGGAGGCUUCGAGCGCAGUGAAGAAUCUCGCUCAGCCGGUCGUCCUCGGUGCGUCUCGUCCAGGCAAGCUCCAGGUGGGGCCUGCCCCGUCCACAUCGCCAUGUUGACCUCGAAUCAGGUAGGGAUACCCGCUGAACUUAAGC
RNAcentral lists this ribosomal RNA (643 nucleotides) under Coccocarpia dissecta. RNAcentral describes it as "eukaryotic LSU rRNA". The stretch from base 245 to 398 matches the Rfam family "5.8S ribosomal RNA". Lineage: Eukaryota; Fungi; Ascomycota; Lecanoromycetes; Peltigerales; Coccocarpiaceae. The record is from RNAcentral.